This 75-nucleotide transfer RNA is filed under the name bacterium. Its description in RNAcentral is "tRNA-Arg". It matches the Rfam family "tRNA". Rfam says of the family: Transfer RNA (tRNA) molecules are approximately 80 nucleotides in length. Their secondary structure includes four short double-helical elements and three loops (D, anti-codon, and T loops). Further hydrogen bonds mediate the characteristic L-shaped molecular structure. tRNAs have two regions of fundamental functional importance: the anti-codon, which is responsible for specific mRNA codon recognition, and the 3' end, to which the tRNAs corresponding amino acid is attached (by aminoacyl-tRNA synthetases). tRNAs cope with the degeneracy of the genetic code in two manners: having more than one tRNA (with a specific anti-codon) for a particular amino acid; and 'wobble' base-pairing, i.e. permitting non-standard base-pairing at the 3rd anti-codon position. The record is from RNAcentral.
GCGCCCGUAGCUCAGCACGGAUAGAGCGAGAGUCUCCGGAACUCUAGGUCGGAGGUUCAAAUCCUCUCGGGCGCG